This 492-nucleotide ribosomal RNA is filed under the name uncultured bacterium. RNAcentral describes it as "partial 16S ribosomal RNA". It matches the Rfam family "Bacterial small subunit ribosomal RNA", at positions 30 to 507 of the family's 1533-position model. The record is from RNAcentral.
AUUGAACGCUGGCGGCAUGCCUAACACAUGCAAGUCGAACGGAAGCACGAGAAGGGGUGUUCACUAGUGGUGGCGGGGGGCGGAAGGGUAAGGAAUGGAUCACCAACUGGUAAGUCUGGGAGCACAACGUGAGACAGGAGCGCAUACUACCUGAUAUUGUAAACGGGAGAGUUCAAAGGAAAAUUAGGCCUUUCCCGUUUGUAAUAGCCGGUGCCGCAUUAGAUAGUUGGUGGGGUAAAGGCAUACCAAGCCAACGAACCGUAGCUGAUCUGAGAGGAUGAUCAGCCACACUGGAACUGAGACACGGUCCAGACUCCUACGGGAGGCAGCAGUGGGGAAUAUUGCACAAUGGGCGCAAGCCUGAUCCAGCAAUGCCGCGUGAGUGAAGAAGGCCUUCGGGUUGUAAAGCGCUUUUGUUAGGAAAGAAAAGAAGCUGGAUAAUACCUGGAUAUCAUGACGGUACCGAAAGAAUAAGCACCGGCUAACUACGUG